RNAcentral lists this ribosomal RNA (254 nucleotides) under uncultured bacterium. Its description in RNAcentral is "partial 16S ribosomal RNA". It matches the Rfam family "Bacterial small subunit ribosomal RNA", at positions 524 to 776 of the family's 1533-position model. The record is from RNAcentral.
UACGGAGGGUGCAAGCGUUAUCCGGAUUUACUGGGUUUAAAGGGUGCGCAGGCGGAUAUGUAAGUCAGUGGUGAAAUCUCUAGGCUUAACCUGGAAAUUGCCGUUGAUACUAUAUAUCUUGAAUGUUGUGGAGGUAAGCAGAAUAUGUCAUGUAGCGGUGAAAUGCUUAGAUAUGACAUAGAAUACCUAUUGCGAAGGCAGCUUACUACGCAGAUAUUGACGCUCAUGCACGAAAAGCGUGGGGAUCAAACAGG